UAGAGUUUGAUCCUGGCUCAGGACAAACGCUGGCGGCGUGCGUAACACAUGCAAGUCGAACGGUGUCUUUGACUUCGGUUGAGGGCGCAGUGGCGGACGGGUGAGUAACACGUGGAUAACCUGCCCUGGUGUGGGGGAUAGCCUUCAGAAAUGAGGGAUAAUACCGCAUACGGCGGCUGGGGAGUGGCGACACUCUCCGCCGGGAAAGCUUUUCAGAGCGCAAGGUCUGGGAGGCGCACGAGGAGGGGUCCGCGGCCGAUUAGCU
This 265-nucleotide ribosomal RNA is filed under the name uncultured bacterium. Its description in RNAcentral is "partial 16S ribosomal RNA". It matches the Rfam family "Bacterial small subunit ribosomal RNA", at positions 1 to 246 of the family's 1533-position model. The record is from RNAcentral.